Molecule: transfer RNA, 76 nt
Filed under: Pseudomonadota bacterium
Lineage: Bacteria; Pseudomonadati; Pseudomonadota
Also listed under: 1 other name
Description: Proteobacteria bacterium (sediment metagenome) tRNA-Lys
Rfam family: tRNA
About the family: Transfer RNA (tRNA) molecules are approximately 80 nucleotides in length. Their secondary structure includes four short double-helical elements and three loops (D, anti-codon, and T loops).
Source: RNAcentral
GGGCCAUUAGCUCAACUGGCAGAGCAACUGACUCUUAAUCAGUAGGUUCGCGGUUCGAUUCCGCGAUGGCCCACCA